RNAcentral lists this ribosomal RNA (254 nucleotides) under uncultured bacterium. RNAcentral's name for it is "partial 16S ribosomal RNA". It matches the Rfam family "Bacterial small subunit ribosomal RNA", at positions 524 to 776 of the family's 1533-position model. The record is from RNAcentral.
UACGGGGGGGGCAAGCGUUGUUCGGAAUUACUGGGCGUAAAGGGCUCGUAGGCGGCCAACUAAGUCAGACGUGAAAUCCCUCGGCUUAACCGGGGAACUGCGUCUGAUACUGGAUGGCUUGAGGUUGGGAGAGGGAUGCGGAAUUCCAGGUGUAGCGGUGAAAUGCGUAGAUAUCGAGAGGAACACCUGCGGCGAAGGCGGGUUGCUGGGCUGACACUGACGCUGAUUGUGCGAAAGCUAGGGGAGCGAACGGG